RNAcentral lists this ribosomal RNA (2920 nucleotides) under Acidobacterium capsulatum ATCC 51196. RNAcentral describes it as "Bacterial large subunit ribosomal RNA". It matches the Rfam family "Bacterial large subunit ribosomal RNA". The record is from Rfam by way of RNAcentral. Lineage: Bacteria; Pseudomonadati; Acidobacteriota; Terriglobia; Terriglobales; Acidobacteriaceae.
GGUCAAGCUACUAAGGGCGCACGGUGGAUGCCUUGGCAGAAUCAGGCGAUGAAGGACGUGGCAAGCUGCGAUAAGCUUCGGGGAGCCGCACACAGGCGUUAUAUCCGAAGAUCUCCGAAUGGGGAAACCCACAUGAGCAAACCUCAUGUACGGCCCGCUGAAUACAUAGGCGGGCACGAGCGAACCCAGGGAAGUGAACCAUCUCAGUACCUGGAGGAAAAGAAAGAAACCUCGAUUCCGAAAGUAGUGGCGAGCGAAAUCGGAACAGCCCAAACCCGUGAUAUUUCGGUAUUGCGGGGGUUGUAGGGUCUGCAACAGUAGAGUUACCAAUCCUCUGGUUAGUCGAAUCCGUUGGAAAGCGGAUCCAUAGAGCGUGACAGACGCGUAGGCGAAAACCAUGAGGACUCGAAGCAGAUACCUGAGUAAGGCGGGGCACGUGAAACCCUGCUUGAAUCCGCGGAGACCAUUCCGCAAGGCUAAAUACUCGAUUCUGACCGAUAGUGAACCAGUACCGUGAGGGAAAGGUGAAAAGCACCCCUGCGAGGGGAGUACAAAGUACCUGAAACCGUGUGCCUACAAGCAGUGGGAGGACUAUGCCCGCAAGGGAAUGUCUGACCGCGUGCCUAUUGCAUAAUGAGCCGGCUAGUUAUUCUUGUCAGCAAGGUUAAGCGUAAGCGAGCCGAAGCGAAAGCGAGUCUGAAUAGGGCGUUAAGUUGGCAGGAAUAGACGCGAAGCGGGAUGAUCUACCCUUGGCCAGGUUGAAGAUGGGGUAACACCCAUUGGAGGACCGAACCGGUGUUUGUUGAAAAAAGCUCGGAUGAGCUGAGGGUAGGGGUGAAAGGCUAAUCAAAUUCCGUGAUAGCUCGUUCUCUCCGAAAUAGCUUUAGGGCUAGCCUCGGAUGAUUUGCAGUGGUGGUAGAGAUCUGGAUGGACUAGGGGGCUUUCCGGCUUACUGAAUCCAACCAAACUUCGAAUGCCACUGACAACCAGUCCGGGAGUCAGACUGUGGGGGCUAAGCUUCACAGUCGAGAGGGAAACAGCCCAGACCGCCUGCUAAGGUCCCCAAGUUACAGUUAAGUGGGAAAGGAAGUCGGAACGCUCAGACAGCCAGGAGGUUGGCUUAGAAGCAGCCAUCCUUUAAAGAAAGCGUAAUAGCUCACUGGUCAAGCGGUCCGGUGCCGACAAUACAACGGGGCUAAAACUGUACACCGAAGCAGCGGAUGCACACCUAUGGUGUGCGUGGUAGGAGAGCAUUCUCAACAGCGUUGAAGUCAGACCGAGAGGAUUGAUGGAGCGUUGCGAAGAGACCCUGCCGGCAUAAGUAGCGAUAAUGAAUGUGAGAACCAUUCACGCCGAAAGUCUAAGGUUUCCUGAGGAAGGUUAAUCCGCUCAGGGUCAGGCGGUCCCUAAGGCGAGGCCGAGAGGCGUAGCUGAUGGACAUCCGGUUAAUAUUCCGGACCUCCCAACUCUCGUUUGACGAUGGGGAGACGCAGAAGGAUAGGCAGGUCGUCAUAUGGCUAUGGCGGUCGAUACGCGUAAGCUGGUGCCGGGAGGCAAAUCCCCCGGUGCUUAACAGUGAGGCGUAAAGCAAGCCCGUAUGGGUGUAAGCUGCCGAGUUCACGCUGCCGAGAAAAUCCUCUAAGGAGAGUAGUUGGGAACCGUACCCCAAACCGACACAGGUAGACGAGGAGAAUAUCCAAAGGCGCUCGAGUGAAAGCUUGUUAAGGAACUCGGCAAAUUAGACCCGUAACUUCGGGAGAAGGGUCGCCCACCUCUGGUGGGCCGCAGUGAAACGCGUACGGCGACUGUUUAACAAAAACACAGGUCUCUGCAAAGUCGAAAACGACGUAUAGGGGCUGACUCCUGCCCGGUGCUGGAAGGUUAAAAGGAGAGGUUAGCCGCAAGGCGAAGCUUUGAAUUGAAGCCCCAGUGAACGGCGGCCGUAACUAUAACGGUCCUAAGGUAGCGAAAUUCCUUGUCGGGUAAGUUCCGACCUGCACGAAUGGAGUAACGAUCGUACGACUGUCUUAACGAGUUGCUCGGCGAACUUGUAGUACCGGUGAAGAUGCCGGUUACCCGCAGCUAGACGGAAAGACCCCGUGCACCUUUACUACACCUUUACUAUGAAUUAUGACUCUUACUGCGCAGGAUAGGUGGGAGGCUUUGAUACCAGGCUCUUGGGCUUGGUGGAGCCACCGGUGAGAUACCACCCUGUGAGCGUUGUGAUUCUAACCUGCUCCCGUGAUCCGGGAGAGGGACAUAGUAAGGCGGGUAGUUUGACUGGGGCGGUCGCCUCCUAAAUUGUAACGGAGGCGCGCGAAGCUACUCUCAGACUGUUUGGAAAUCAGUCGUCGAGUGCAAAGGCAUAAGAGUGGUUAACUGUGAGACCUACAAGUCGAGCAGAUGCGAAAGCAGGCCUUAGUGAUCCGGUGGUUCUGUAUGGAAGGGCCAUCGCUCAACGGAUAAAAGGUACGCCGGGGAUAACAGGCUGAUCGGAGCCAAGAGUUCAUAUCGACGCUCCGGUUUGGCACCUCGAUGUCGGCUCAUCGCAUCCUGGAGCUGUAGAAGGUUCCAAGGGUUAGGCUGUUCGCCUAUUAAAGCGGUACGUGAGCUGGGUUCAGAACGUCGCGAGACAGUUCGGUCCCUAUCUGCUGUGGGCGUAGGAGAUUUGAGGAGGGCUGUCCUUAGUACGAGAGGACCGGGAUGGACGAACCUCUUGUGUUCCAGUUGUCAUGCCAAUGGCACGGCUGGGUAGCGAAGUUCGGUUGUGAUAACCGCUGAAUGCAUAUAAGCGGGAAGCACGCUCCAAGAUGAGAUCUCCCUGAAGGGCCCAGGAAGACCACCUGGUUGAUAGGCUGGAGGUGUAAGCACAGUAAUGUGUUCAGCUUACCAGUACUAAUCGCCCGUUCGGCUUGUCCAU